AUACCAGGUGCUGUGAGCAU
Molecule: ribosomal RNA, 20 nt
Filed under: Misgurnus anguillicaudatus (oriental weatherfish)
Lineage: Eukaryota; Metazoa; Chordata; Actinopteri; Cypriniformes; Cobitidae
Source: RNAcentral